This 474-nucleotide ribosomal RNA is filed under the name uncultured bacterium. Its description in RNAcentral is "bacterial SSU rRNA". It matches the Rfam family "Bacterial small subunit ribosomal RNA", at positions 335 to 801 of the family's 1533-position model. The record is from RNAcentral.
ACUCCUACGGGAGGCAGCAGUAGGGAAUCUUCCACAAUGGGCGCAAGCCUGAUGGAGCAACACCGCGUGAGUGAAGAAGGGUUUCGGCUCGUAAAGCUCUGUUGUUAAAGAAGAACACGUAUGAGAGUAACUGUUCAUACGUUGACGGUAUUUAACCAGAAAGUCACGGCUAACUACGUGCCAGCAGCCGCGGUAAUACGUAGGUGGCAAGCGUUAUCCGGAUUUAUUGGGCGUAAAGAGAGUGCAGGCGGUUUUCUAAGUCUGAUGUGAAAGCCUUCGGCUUAACCGGAGAAGUGCAUCGGAAACUGGAUAACUUGAGUGCAGAAGAGGGUAGUGGAACUCCAUGUGUAGCGGUGGAAUGCGUAGAUAUAUGGAAGAACACCAGUGGCGAAGGCGGCUACCUGGUCUGCAACUGACGCUGAGACUCGGAAGCAUGGGUAGCGAACAGGAUUAGAUACCCCUGGUAGGAUAGCG